Boleophthalmus pectinirostris (great blue-spotted mudskipper) is the source of this 473-nucleotide long non-coding RNA. RefSeq lists it as uncharacterized. NCBI's taxonomy places the organism in Eukaryota, Metazoa, Chordata, Actinopteri, Gobiiformes, Gobiidae. The record is from RefSeq and is a predicted model, not a curated record. The transcript has 5 exons.
AGAGGAACUGCAACAACUAGCAUGUGCAGUGUGCUAGCUAAAAAACAUGUGGAGGGACCAAAACAAGGACAAAUCACCAACUGAGCAUCAAAAGAAAUGACUGGAUUGAAGAGACCAGGAAAAGAUUUGGGGCAAAUCAGCAAGACUCAAACUGAACCUUCAACCUCAUGGUUUUAUUUAUUGCAAGCUGAUGUCAGUCCCAAGCUUGGAUAAAUUCAGAACGAUCUGAGUCAACUUUACCGUUAUAAGAAAGAAACAUCAUGUAGUGAGAAGACGAUCAGUGGUGAAAGUGAACACGAGGACGACAUCUGAGACCACAGUGUGUGUGUUGUUAGGGCCUGCGUCCGCCUUGACAACGGGAAGCAAGCUGGAGAUGUAGAGGACUUCAGCUCUAAAAGACUGACUAUGUGUGUCGCUGAUUGGCUAAACCAUCUAUUAAUCAUCUGAAAACGGGGAGGUUCACCACUGACCAG